This 324-nucleotide ribosomal RNA is filed under the name Amanita muscaria (fly agaric). Its description in RNAcentral is "partial 28S ribosomal RNA". It matches the Rfam family "Eukaryotic large subunit ribosomal RNA", at positions 1 to 316 of the family's 3401-position model. Lineage: Eukaryota; Fungi; Basidiomycota; Agaricomycetes; Agaricales; Amanitaceae. The record is from RNAcentral.
UUGACCUCAAAUCAGGUAGGACUACCCGCUGAACUUAAGCAUAUCAAUAAGCGGAGGAAAAGAAACUAACAAGGAUUCCCUUAGUAACUGCGAGUGAAGAGGGAAGAGCUCAAAUUUAAAAUCUGGCAGUGUUUUGCUGUCCGAGUUGUAAUCUAGAGAAGUGCUGCCCGUGCUGGACCAUGUACAAGUCUCCUGGAAUGGAGCGUCACAGAGGGUGAGAAUCCCGUCUUUGACAUGGACUACCAGUGCAUUUGUGGUGUGCUCUCAAAGAGUCGAGUUGUUUGGGAAUGCAGCUCUAAAUGGGUGGUAAACUCCAUCUAAAGC